AUUGAACGCUGGCGGCAUGCUUUACACAUGCAAGUCGAACGGCAGCACGGGUGCUUGCACCUGGUGGCGAGUGGCGGACGGGUGAGUAAUACAUCGGAACGUAUCCAGAAGAGGGGGAUAACGCAUCGAAAGAUGUGCUAAUACCGCAUAUUCUCUGAGGAGGAAAGCAGGGGAUCGAAAGACCUUGCGCUUUGGGAGCGGCCGAUGUCUGAUUAGCUAGUUGGUGGGGUAAAGGCCUACCAAGGCGACGAUCAGUAGUUGGUCUGAGAGGACGAUCAGCCACACGUGGGACUGAGACACGGCCCAGACUCCGUACGGGAGGCAGCAGGUGGGGUAAUUUUGGACAAGUGGGCGCAAGCCUGAUCCAGCAAUGCCGCGUGAGUGAAGAA
RNAcentral lists this ribosomal RNA (389 nucleotides) under uncultured bacterium. Its description in RNAcentral is "bacterial SSU rRNA". It matches the Rfam family "Bacterial small subunit ribosomal RNA", at positions 30 to 412 of the family's 1533-position model. The record is from RNAcentral.